AUGAACAUCUUAGCUUGGAACUGUCGAGGGUUGGGGUUGGACUCGACAGUUGGCGAACUGAGAGACCUGAUACGGUCCUACAACCCAGCGGUGGUGUUCUUGUCGGAAACAAAGAAGAAAUCGGCUCCGAUGGAAAAAUUGAAGUGGUCAUUAGGGUUCCGACAAGGGGUGGCGGUAAGCUUUGUGGGGAGAAGUGGCGGUCUAGCACUAUGGUGGCGAGAUGACAUGGAGGUCUCGGUAAGGCCUUGGUGCCAGUACUUUAUCGACGCUGCUAUAACUUUCGAGAGCAGGACCUUUAGAUUCACUGGAAUCUACGGGGAGCCUAAAAAACUGAGUUGA
This 339-nucleotide ribosomal RNA is filed under the name Triticum aestivum (bread wheat). RNAcentral describes it as "partial small subunit ribosomal RNA". The record is from RNAcentral. Lineage: Eukaryota; Viridiplantae; Streptophyta; Magnoliopsida; Poales; Poaceae.